Long non-coding RNA from Sceloporus undulatus (fence lizard), 1074 nucleotides. RefSeq lists it as uncharacterized. The record is from RefSeq and is a predicted model, not a curated record. The transcript is spliced from 5 exons. NCBI's taxonomy places the organism in Eukaryota, Metazoa, Chordata, Lepidosauria, Squamata, Phrynosomatidae.
CAACCGCCCCCUUCCAGCUGUCACAAGUACCAAGUCUUUCAAUUAAACGUUAUCUCUCCCUGAGGAGAGAAGAACCUAAAGCUUGUUGCAAACGUGUAAAGCAUAUUGCCCCCCACAAUGGCAUCCCUGUUGGGUGCGUUUGGACUGUUCACUGGAAUAUCCAAAUGGAUGAAGAGAGCAAAAAGCAAGUCAAGGGAGGCACAGCAACAAACAGUUCUGUCAACAUCUAAUCAUAUUAGGAACUAACAGAAGAUUGUUAGUACGUUUCUAAAUGUAUACCAUUUAUGGAAAAGGAAAAUGAAAGAAAAGGCCCCUGUUGAUUUCAUUCCAGCUUCCAGGUAUUUUGGACUUGUUUCGCCAAAGGUCAGGGGUUCUGGGAGUUGAAGUCAAAAUAAUUUGGAGUAGCAAUGUCUGAGAACCAGUGACCUACAUGAUUCCCAAGACGGUAAUAUCACACAGAGUAUCUGGCACUGCAGAAGGGGUGAGUUGGUGUUACCCCCCUGAACCUCCAGCUAGUACCAGUGAUACUGAGGCCAAUAAUAAUGAUUAGACAUGCAGGUGUGGCAUCAAACUGAAGUGUGGGAAAGGAUUGUUUCAAAAAGCAGAACUGGAUAGCUCUUUCUGCAAUGAAUGUAAACGUACAUACACUGGUGUUACACCAACAUAUGUCCCUAACAGGCUUUUCGUCCAUGCUGUCAGUUAUAACAAUGCUAAUAUUUUCUGACAUGUCUUGUUCUAGGUCAUCCCUCCUAAACUAAUGCUUUGUGCUGAAAGGGUCAUAAUGCCGACCGUAUAGUUGUUCAUUCAUGAUGGCAGAGAUGCUUAGGUGCCUGCAGUCUCUGAACUGGGAUUGUGGUAACCAAUUGCCACCUGAUUUUGUCACUUGUUUUUAAAGUUUUAAAACUAGUAAACCUAUCUGGUACAAAUAGUUAUCUUUUCCUGGAAGCUAGACUUGCCAGAUUCUUUCACUUUAUUUGUUUUUGUUUAUCAUUUUAUGAAUCAUCUCCAAUUUUCACUUUGAAAGCGAUUUUAAAACAUAACACAUUACUUCAGUUAGUGCAACCUAGAAUAAUA